UUCUUAUCCAGAGAGGUGGAGGGAUAGGCCCUGUGAAACCUCGGCAACAGAUUCGUAAUGAAAACUGUGCCAAUUCCUACAGGAGUACCUGAGAGAUAAGAA
Molecule: non-coding RNA, 102 nt
Filed under: Heyndrickxia ginsengihumi
Lineage: Bacteria; Bacillati; Bacillota; Bacilli; Caryophanales; Bacillaceae
Description: Bacillus ginsengihumi SAM-I sequence
Rfam family: SAM riboswitch aptamer (S box leader)
About the family: The SAM riboswitch is found upstream of a number of genes which code for proteins involved in methionine or cysteine biosynthesis in Gram-positive bacteria. The SAM riboswitch acts at the level of transcription termination control.
Source: Rfam by way of RNAcentral